This is a long non-coding RNA of Aotus nancymaae (Ma's night monkey), 3086 nucleotides long. The record is from Ensembl. Lineage: Eukaryota; Metazoa; Chordata; Mammalia; Primates; Aotidae.
GCGGUAUUCUCUGUGUAAACAGCUUAACACAGUACCUGGCAGAGGGAGAGGGAGAAAGGGGGAGAGAGAGAGGGAGAGAUGAUGACUGACUUACAGACAGACAUACUUCAAUCAAAGAAUAUAGUGGAUUUCAACAUGAGCUUCUCAAGGGGGAGAGCUCACCCCUUCAAAGUGUAUCAGAGAAAAUUGUUUGCCAAAAUCCCAAAUCAAAAUGGAACCAGAACCUGUACGAGUAUGCCCAGAGCUGACAGAUUCACAGGGACCUGUGGGCCUGUGGAAGCAGGGAAGGAGAGAAGUGAGCCAUAGGAGUGACGAGCAAUUAAAGGUAUUUUUCUGGCUCCUACCCAACUCCAAUCUAAUUUAGAGAUGACGGAAUACCUACUUCAAAUUCAAGAGGUAAGGAAAAGUGCCAUUUAUUAUUAAGGAGAAGGUAGACAGCUCAUUUUUUACCAAAAAAGCACUCGAUAUUACGCAUCACUGGAGGAAUAGUCAAUCCUGUCGAUACUGUCCAAUUAUUUCAGCCAAAAAAAAAAACACUAAAAAAUCUUUUACCUACAAAAUUAUAAGGUGCCCAACAUUGCCUUAUUUUUUUUUUCCGUUAGCACAGUAGUUAAGGUAUAGGGCCUGCAACAUUGCCUUAUUUUAUACAUAAUUAGCCAAACUAACUAGGUAAAGUUACUUCAAAAAGAUUUUUUCAUGCUACCUAAAGAAUAAUUUACAAGAUUAAACUAGGCUUACUUAAACUUUGCCAAAAAGCUCUUAAAAGUGUCUAAAAUACAUCAUUUGGAAGAAAAAAAAUGCAUCAUCUGGUAAUUUGAACUCAAGAUAAAAUCCUCACGAGUUAUUGGGAUGAAACAAUUUAAACUCCUGGAUGGUAUUUUUCUCUCACAACCAACUUGCCCAAUAUUUUGAGGAAAAAAACCACAGUGUUUUCCUCUCAUAAUGUCUCUUCUGUUGUAUUCCUCUUUAAGACAGACCUCAUGCUGUCAGGAGAGGUUUCUCUAAGCAAAAUGCCAUUUCCUUCUAGAGCAGACAAAAGAUUACAGGAACACUUGGCUGCUAGCCAGUGUCCAAGAUAAGGAGAGAAAAUCUGGCCAGUCGAUGGCUUUUAACCCUCUCCCUCCUUAUCUCUUUCUCUUACUUUCCAUGGGCUGGACUAGUGUUCUCGACCCCUUAAAGCCCCUCUAAGCUUAGGCAUGAGGAGACAGAAGCAAUGAGCUGGAAACAGCAGAUGCAAUAGCCUAAAAUCCAAAAAGAAGGGAAAUCCUUGUCAUAAAAUCUUUCCAAUUACUUAGCAAUGGUCUCUUCCUCUACAGCAAAUGCCCAGCUAGCCUACAGCAGUCUUUUGCCAUAAGCAACAAAACUGGCUAGAGGAAGAAACAGGAAAGCUAAAAUCCACUGAAAUGGGAGGAAACAGGAAAGCUAAAAUCCACUGAAAUGGGAGGAAACAGGAAAGCUAAAAUCCACUGAAAUGGGAGGAAACAGGAAAGCUAAAAUCCGCUGAACCUGGCCUCUGAUUGCCAGGUCACUAACAAGUUCACUGCUCUUUGGUAACUAAAAUAAGAAUCCUCAAGGUAAACAAAGGUUGCUAAUAGGUGUCAAGUACUUCCAUCAUUGCCUCCCAAAGCCUGCAUAUCUCAGAGUACACACACCAAGGGAAAACCACAGUGACUUUUUUGCUCAGCAGGAGGUUUACUAUGUCUGAGGAAUAAUUACUCUACCUGUCUUGUUCUAAAAUGUAGAGAAAAACAAGAUCGGAUUUAGUUUGGUGUUUCAGACGUGAGUGGAUUUCCCUCCCUCUUCAUCCGUGCUACAACUUAAUGUUAAAAGUUUGGUAUUUUCAUCUUGUUUUAGUGGUAUAGUAUUUUUUGUAAUAAUUCUCCUAAAUGUAAACUAUAACUGUAUAUAAAAUGUAAGUGUUCUUGGAGAUAUGGUGCUAGAUAUUAGACUGUGUUUGUAGAUAGUGUCGUCCUCAAAAAAGGGUAGUAUGUAUAUGUGUAAAGUUAGUUAAUAAAAUGCAUGCAAAUUCUAUGUAUGACCUACACCUUGGUCAGUUUCUGAUGUAGAACACAGUACAUUUGUUUUUUAAAUUUAUUUUUAAAUUAUAUACUACAGGAUAUGUAAAAUGGCACCAAAGUGGGGUGGCAGGAAGUGAUGACUUUCAUUCCUUAAACCCUUGAUAUAUGACAGAUGAGAAGUUAUUCUGGUACAAUUGGUCAUUAGUGUGAACUAAUCAUCUUGGCUGAAGUCCUUGCUGACAGUUUUCCACAACACACUUGGCACUGGUAUGCUGUUUUCUAUUCACUGAAUAUAUAGAAUGCAAAUUCAAAGAAGACCAUCCUUCUCCAUUAAAAAGGAAGGACUCCAGGAUAGGCGAGUGGAGUCCAGUUAGCGGGACGAAAAGAAUACUGCAUUCUGAAGACCCAACGGACACCUGACCGUGAACUGACAUGAUUUGCACUUGGCAGAUCCAUAACGCGACCAUCCAUGCCCUCCUAGAGCAGUAACAAAAUUCAGAAAAAGGCUGCUGUUUUUUCCCCUUUCAUUAGUUGUCUGAGAGAUAAGAUAGAGUGAGCAUGGAUGGUUAACUACAGAGAAAGGUAGUGGGACUCCUCUAUGGGGUCACAGCUACAGUAUUUGAUAGUUACAGUAGUAUAUCAAUGGGAUUUGUGUCAGAUAAGAAAAGAAAACUAUAAGAUGAUUUCGUUAUAUUUUCAGAACAAAAUGUUACAACUAAAAAAAUCUAUAUAUAUACCCUCAAUAAAUUAUUUCUAAAACUGCCUUUAAUAUCCAAUUUUGUGUGCUGCUUUGAAACUGAAAACAGAAAAAUGUAUUUAAUCAAUAAACAGUUCUCUUUAAUAUUUUAAAGUUUGAAUUUAAAAGUUUCAUUUUUCUUUAAAAAAAAGAAUUUGCAAUUGAAAAGUGCCUUUUCAAAGGAUUGUCAAACUACAGUCCUGGGGCCAAGUUCCCACUGGCACAACUUAGAUUCAGGUGCCCAAAAGGGGUAAGCUUUAUCCUCCUCCCCUCAGCAAGAAGAGAACCCCACUCACACCCAAUCAAAUUCACAAAUCAACACUGUUACUUGG